GUAUCCCGUAUCUGGUCCAAAGGACACUUGGGAGAUCAUGGACAGGAGCUGUGAUUCUCUAGGAGAGUUUAUAAGGUGGAACGUCAAGCAGCAAGAGACUAAAGACUUCAAGAUGGAAAAUGAAAGCACAGCAAGUUGUCAUGGCUGCAGAACUCUGAUGUGGGGCCGGGUGAUUUGACAUAUAAGGUCUGGCUGGCCUUGGGCUUCCUGUCUCUGGAGGAACAUUCACAAUAAACUGGGGAACUACUUUCUGGGAAUGCUACACACACACCACACAUGCGUACACAGCUGAAUGAAGAGGACUCCUAGGACCUAGAAGAGGACAGAGCCCUAAAGAAGAUGGAAGAAGCACCGGUACCGAGCGACCAUGUAGAAGCCUGCCCAACCAAGAACCCCCUGGAUGAUUCUGCUGUGAAAAAUGAACUUUUGUUAUGUUAAACGACAGAGAAGUUGGGACUUAUCUAUUAUAGCAGUUCACAGCAGUUUCUUUUAGGGGGAAUAAAAGGGCUUGCUCCGCAAUCUGCCUUUAUUGUUUCACUGGAGAGGAGAAGCAAAACAUAUUUCAAUCAGAAGAAUUAUACCUGAGCGCUGUAACUGUUUCCAGAGCCAACAGAGAAAGCCGUGAUACAUUUAAGCGUCAUGGAAUUUGUUCAUCAGAACGAAAUGUGUGAAAUACACCCAAAGACUCUUUGCCAGUCCAAUAUGCAAAGAAACCAACAAUGAGCUUAAAAACUGUUUUGUUUUGUUGGGUCAAUUGACUGAAAAAAGAUGGGGACAAUUCGUCAUUCAUCAAUCGGUGCCAGAAAAAAAAAUCAGUGUUAUUUUUAGAGGUAGUGAUAUACAAACAGGAAAGCAGACAAGAGGAGACCCACCAUGGACCGCCUGUGGAGUUUUGAUCAAGUCGCUCAGCCUUUUUGGGCCUCAAGGGCACACAGUUGGUGGCGGAGCCGAGCUGAUCAUCUGUGACUCUCAUCUCACAGUUUGUGUUCUGAAUCCACUAUCCUCCAUGGAGACAGACACCAUCAAGGACAAGCACCUGGACUAUCUCCUCCUGCAAAGAGAUAUGGACUGGUGGGAAAGCUGCUGACCAGCAAGGUCAUGAGCUCCCUCCUCUCUGCAAGUGUCUCAAGGCCAAAGACAGGCUGGUGGGAAAGCUCCGACCAGCAAGGCCAUAUGCUCCCCCUCCCCUACCUAAAACCCCAAAUAAAAACCCGUCCUUUUAGCUUUUCGGGGAGUUUGGGAUUUCAGCGUUAGCUGCCCUCUCUCCUUGCUCAGCGCUGUGCAAAAAUAAAAUUCCUGCUUUCUUCCACCACCCCUGGUGUCAGAGAUUGGCUUGCUGUGCAACGGGUGAGCGAACUCACUUCGGGUUCGGUAACAGUUUCUCUAACCUUCCUCCGUGGUGGCGCCAGCCAGGACAGGUGCUUUUGUACCUCAAGGAACUAGUUACUGUCUUUCUGGAGGUUUCUUAGUAAAAUGCCAUGGAAAAGGGAAGAAGCCAAGGCUGGCAGGAGGGAUGUGGG
RNAcentral lists this long non-coding RNA (1520 nucleotides) under Equus caballus (horse). RNAcentral's name for it is "lncRNA (ENSECAG00000059815.1)". The record is from RNAcentral. Lineage: Eukaryota; Metazoa; Chordata; Mammalia; Perissodactyla; Equidae.